Molecule: ribosomal RNA, 221 nt
Filed under: uncultured bacterium
Lineage: Bacteria
Description: partial 16S ribosomal RNA
Rfam family: Bacterial small subunit ribosomal RNA
Source: RNAcentral
ACGCUCGACACCUACGAGAGGCAGCGGUAGGGAAUCUUCCACAAUGGACGCAAGUCUGAUGGAGCAACGCCGCGUGAGUGAAGAAGGUCUUCGGAUCGUAAAACUCUGUUGUUAGAGAAGAACACGAGUGAGAGUAACUGUUCAUUCGAUGACGGUAUCUAACCAGCAAGUCACGGCUAACUACGUGCCAGCAGCCUGGUAGUAUGNGCGGCGNGNGAGAG